UACGGAGGGUGCAAGCGUUGUUCGGAAUUAUUGGGCGUAAAGGGCGUGUAGGCGGUUUUUUAAGUCUGAUGUGAAGGCCCCGGGCUCAACCUGGGAAGUGCAUUGGAAACUGGAAGACUUGAGUACGGGAGAGGGCAGUGGAAUUCCUGGUGUAGGAGUGAAAUCCGUAGAUAUCAGGAGGAACACCGGUGGCGAAGGCGGCAUUCUGGACCGGCAUUGACGCUGAGGCGCGAAAGCCAGGGGAGCAAACGGG
RNAcentral lists this ribosomal RNA (253 nucleotides) under uncultured bacterium. RNAcentral describes it as "partial 16S ribosomal RNA". It matches the Rfam family "Bacterial small subunit ribosomal RNA", at positions 524 to 776 of the family's 1533-position model. The record is from RNAcentral.